UACGGAGGGUGCAAGCGUUAUCCGGAUUCACUGGGUUUAAAGGGUGCGUAGGCGGGCAGGUAAGUCAGUGGUGAAAUCUUCGAGCUUAACUCGGAGACUGCCGUUGAUACUAUCUGUCUUGAAUAUUGUGGAGGUGAGCGGAAUAUGUCAUGUAGCGGUGAAAUGCUUAGAUAUGACAUAGAACACCCAUUGCGAAGGCAGCUCACUACGCAAAAAUUGACGCUGAGGCACGAAAGCGUGGGGAUCAAACAGG
This 253-nucleotide ribosomal RNA is filed under the name uncultured bacterium. RNAcentral describes it as "partial 16S ribosomal RNA". It matches the Rfam family "Bacterial small subunit ribosomal RNA", at positions 524 to 776 of the family's 1533-position model. The record is from RNAcentral.